ACGUGUUUGCGGGGCCUUCUAACUUCUAUUUUCUAUCAAGCCUUCGUCGUCUCCUUCGCGCUUGCGGAAUCCGAUUCCCCCAAGCCCUCGACGACGACGGCCACGGCUGCGGCAACGGCAGUGCCGACACCCUCCUUCCUCUUCUUCAAGACCUCGCGGAUUGCUUGAAGCUUCCCCCGGAUUACUUUGCAAGGCUCCCGGGGGAUCUCCGGCUCGAUGUAAGUAUCAUUCCUGCGAUCUGGUUUUCGAUUUGAGCUCGACUGGUCGGAUCGAUUCUUGGUUUCUGAUUUAGGGUGUUUUCCCUGCGUUCUUCUCGAGUGAUGGUGAAGCUAAAUGAUGCCGCAUUUGAUCUUUCUAGCGGGUCCGUGUGGGAUGAGUUUAGUAAUUCUCCUCUUUAAUUUUAUCUGUGGUCACGAAGUGGGGGAAAUGCUCUUAAAUCUUUCUCGGGCAUGGGAACAGGCUGAUACUUCUACUUCAAAUAUCCCAUCUCUAGAGAUGUCUUUGACGGACAAUGUCAAACCAGGCAAGGGUGAAAUAGCUAAUAACCUGAAUCAGCAAUUGCAGUGUGGAGUCACUAUAUGCUUCCAUUUCCUUCCUUUCAUGGUGUAGCACUUGGCAAACGUUUGGUAUCUGCUGGAAGAAGAUUUGAGGCUAUGGGAAUGUAUCGUCAAGGAGAGCCACAAAGGUUUGAUGUCAUCAUCAUUAACAUCUUGGAGUAGAAAGUUAUCAGUCCUUUGCAACAUUGAAAGAAACUUGGCUCACCACCUAAUGGCAGAUUGCCAAAGCUAUGAUCAAAACUGGGAAUCUGCUGUCUAGAGGUCCUGUUAUAGACACUGAUGAAAGGCCUAAGAAGGAAAGCAGGAUGUUGAAGUUUGGAGAAUUACAAGUGGAGUUGACUCCAGGGAAAGCUUAUGGUGGUGCUGCUAUUGGUCUUGUUUUUGGAUUACUCUCUUGGGAACCAAGUCAAGGCAUCCAAAGCAUUCCAGAAAGUUCAUUGCAGUAUGCACAUUAUAAUGCACUGCCCCUAGCAAAGUCACUAAGAGGAGCUCUUCUUGUACUUGGUUACUCAUCUACAGUCUUAUCUGCUUUUGCUUCAAUGGGACUUGUGUUGUUAGGAAGACAACUGAGCUCUGAAAGCAGCUCAAAGAAACUGUAAAUAAUGAGUUUCAUGAAUGCCAGUUUGCUAUUUUAAAGCUACAGAUGUACUUUGUUGAAGUGCAGGGGGAAAUUUUUCAAA
This is a non-coding RNA of Elaeis guineensis (African oil palm), 1237 nucleotides long. The record is from RefSeq and is a predicted model, not a curated record. Lineage: Eukaryota; Viridiplantae; Streptophyta; Magnoliopsida; Arecales; Arecaceae.